AAACUUAAAUGAAUUGACGGGACCCGCACAAGCGGUGGAUGAUGUGGUUUAAUUCGAUGCAACGCGAAAACCUUACCCACCUUUGACAUGGCAGGAAUCCCGAAGAGAUUUGGGAGUGCUCGAAAGAGAACCUGCACACAGGCGCUGCAUGGCUGUCGUCAGCUCGUGUCGUGAGAUGUUGGGUUAAGUCCCGCAACGAGCGCAACCCUUGCCAUUAGUUGCUACGAAAGGGCACUCUAAUGGGACUGCCGGUGACAAACCGGAGGAAGGUGGGGAUGACGUCAAGUCCUCAUGGCCCUUAUAGGUGGGGCUACACACGUCAUACAAUGGCCGGUACAGAGGGUAGCCAACCCGCGAGGGGGAGCCAAUCCCACAAAGCCGGUCGUAGUCCGGAUCGCAGUCUGCAACUCGACUGCGUGAAGUCGGAAUCGCUAGUAAUCGCGGAUCAGCAUGUCGCGGUGAAUACGUUCCCGGGUCUU
RNAcentral lists this ribosomal RNA (479 nucleotides) under uncultured Allobrachymonas sp. RNAcentral describes it as "bacterial SSU rRNA". It matches the Rfam family "Bacterial small subunit ribosomal RNA", at positions 897 to 1382 of the family's 1533-position model. The record is from RNAcentral. Lineage: Bacteria; Pseudomonadati; Pseudomonadota; Betaproteobacteria; Burkholderiales; Comamonadaceae.